CCUACGGGUGGCUGCAGUGGGGAAUAUUGGACAAUGGGCGAAAGCCUGAUCCAGCCAUGCCGCGUGUGUGAAGAAGGCCUUCGGGUUGUAAAGCACUUUCAGUGGGGAAGAAAGCCUUGGGGCUAAUACCCUCGAGGAAGGACAUCACCCACAGAAGAAGCACCGGCUAACUCCGUGCCAGCAGCCGCGGUAAUACGGAGGGUGCGAGCGUUAAUCGGAAUUACUGGGCGUAAAGCGCGCGUAGGCGGUCUGAUAAGCCGGUUGUGAAAGCCCCGGGCUCAACCUGGGAACGGCAUCCGGAACUGUCAGGGUAGAGUGCAGGAGAGGAAGGUAGAAUUCCCGGUGUAGCGGUGAAAUGCGUAGAGAUCGGGAGGAAUACCAGUGGCGAAGGCGGCCUUCUGGACUGACACUGACGCUGAGGUGCGAAAGCGUGGGUAGCAAACAGGAUUAGAUACCCUGUAGUC
RNAcentral lists this ribosomal RNA (464 nucleotides) under Vreelandella stevensii. Its description in RNAcentral is "partial 16S ribosomal RNA". It matches the Rfam family "Bacterial small subunit ribosomal RNA", at positions 338 to 795 of the family's 1533-position model. Lineage: Bacteria; Pseudomonadati; Pseudomonadota; Gammaproteobacteria; Oceanospirillales; Halomonadaceae. The record is from RNAcentral.